UACGUAGGGGGCUAGCGUUGUCCGGAAUCAUUGGGCGUAAAGCGUGCGUAGGUGGUUUGUUAAGUCUGAUGUGAAAGCCCUGGGCUCAACCUGGGAACGGCAUUGGAAACUGGCUUACUAGAGUGCGGUAGAGGGGUGUGGAAUUCCCGGUGUAGCAGUGAAAUGCGUAGAUAUCGGGAGGAACAUCUGUGGCGAAGGCGACACCCUGGACCAGCACUGACACUGAGGCACGAAAGCGUGGGGAGCAAACAGG
Molecule: ribosomal RNA, 253 nt
Filed under: uncultured bacterium
Lineage: Bacteria
Description: partial 16S ribosomal RNA
Rfam family: Bacterial small subunit ribosomal RNA
Source: RNAcentral